RNAcentral lists this transfer RNA (73 nucleotides) under Marmota monax (woodchuck). RNAcentral's name for it is "tRNA.Ala". The record is from RNAcentral. Lineage: Eukaryota; Metazoa; Chordata; Mammalia; Rodentia; Sciuridae.
GGGGUAUAUAGCUCAGUAGUUAAAGUGCUUACCCAGCAUUUGCAAGGCCCUGGGUUCAAUUCCCUGUACUUCA